RNAcentral lists this unclassified non-coding RNA (463 nucleotides) under Hevea brasiliensis (rubber tree). The record is from RNAcentral. Lineage: Eukaryota; Viridiplantae; Streptophyta; Magnoliopsida; Malpighiales; Euphorbiaceae.
GUUGCUGCUCGUUCUCAAUCCUUAUCAUCAUUUUUGAUUUCUCUGGUUCAGCUCCAAUUGGUCUUUGGUGUUAUUUUUUGAAUUACCCAGUUGAAAUAUGCUCUGUUUUCGACCUGCCUCAUGUGGUCGAAGGCUUGGAAGGGGGCAGCAACUUGAAAUAUAUUGGUGGAGAUAUGUUUAAGUCUGUUCCUUCCGCUCAUGCAAUUUGCUAAAGGAGCAUGAGAAAUUUUCUUUUGGUUGCUUAGUUCUCCUUAUCAAGGAAAUACAAACAAAAGUGAAUAAAGAUGAGGCGAACAAAUUUUCAGUCACAAUACUCUUUAUCAAUUAAGGCUAUGACACUUAUCAUGAAAAUGAUACAACCAAAAGGAUGAGUAGAAGAAUCGUCCCUGACAAUCAUAACAACAGAAAUAUUGCUGGUAGUAAAAUAAAGUUGCUUAUAUGGCCCUUGAUACCAAGCACGCUU